This 253-nucleotide ribosomal RNA is filed under the name uncultured bacterium. Its description in RNAcentral is "partial 16S ribosomal RNA". It matches the Rfam family "Bacterial small subunit ribosomal RNA", at positions 524 to 776 of the family's 1533-position model. The record is from RNAcentral.
UGCAGAGGGGGCAAGCGUUGUUCGGAAUUACUGGGCGUAAAGGGCGCGUAGGCGGCUUGAUAAGGUUGCGGUGAAAGCCCGGGGCUCAACCCCGGGUCGGCCGUGGCAACUGUCGAGCUGGAGCACUGUAGAGGCAGGUGGAAUUCCGGGUGUAGCGGUGGAAUGCGUAGAGAUCCGGAAGAACACCGGUGGCGAAGGCGGCCUGCUGGGCAGUGGCUGACGCUGAGGCGCGACAGCGUGGGGAGCAAACAGG